GAUGAACGCUGGCGGCGUGCCUAACACAUGCAAGUCGAGCGAACAGACGAGGAGUUUGCUCCUCUGACGUUAGCGGCGGACGGGUGAGUCACAUGUGGAUAACCUACCUAUCAGACUGGGAUAAUUACGGCAAACCGGAGCUUAUACCGGAUAAUAUAUUGCACCGCAUGGUUCAAUAGUGAAAUUCGGUUUUUCUGUCACUUAUAGCUGGAUACGCGCCUCAUUAGCUAGUUGGUACGGUAACGGCUUACCAAGGCAACGAUGCGUAGCCGACCUGAGCGGGUGGUCGGCCACACUGGAAGUGAGACAGGGCACAUAAUCCUAGGGGGGGAAACAGAAGGGAAUCUUCCGGAAGGGGCGAAAGCCUAACAGAGCAACGCGGGGUAAGAGAUGAAGGUGUUCGGAUCGGAAAGCUCUGUUUUUAGUGAAGAACAAAUGUGUAAUUAACUAGGCACUUCUUGACGGUACCUAAUCAAAAAGCCACGGCUAACUACGUG
This 497-nucleotide ribosomal RNA is filed under the name uncultured bacterium. RNAcentral describes it as "partial 16S ribosomal RNA". It matches the Rfam family "Bacterial small subunit ribosomal RNA", at positions 28 to 507 of the family's 1533-position model. The record is from RNAcentral.